Molecule: long non-coding RNA, 1771 nt
Filed under: Anolis carolinensis (green anole)
Lineage: Eukaryota; Metazoa; Chordata; Lepidosauria; Squamata; Anolidae
Description: lncRNA (ENSACAG00000045137.1)
Source: RNAcentral
GUGGUAAUACCAAGUAUAUUUUAAACCAGCAUUAAAUGAGACAGAAUAGAACCAAUGGAUUAUAAGAAUGAAGAUGUGACUGAGAGCUUCCAUACACCUCACUACAAGAGCCGGGUUCUGUUUGAAGAUGGAAAUUCAUUGACAGUGGCAGAGAGGUCUUCCUGUUCAGGAAUCCUUUGGAGCAAUUUUCCGUAUCCAGGUUCUUCCCCUGUUAUUUCUAAGAAAGCUCUUUUUUAUCAAAGAUAUUAAAAGAAAAGGGCACAGUGUUUGUACUUAAAAUAAGUUUUUUGUACAUGACUGGGGAAUAGUUUUCUUUAACAAAUGAUUCAGACCUUUUUACAAAGCAACUUCCAUUUACAUCAAAUAAAUUUACAAUACACAUUCCAAUGGAUAUGAAAAGAUACAAUUUAUAAGUGAAACGGUUAGGGAAGCUUUUUUUUAUUUAACACCAGUCAACCAGUCUAUUUUGGUAGUCUUUUGAGCUUCAAAGGAGACAUUCCUUAACAAAGAAUGUUGUCCUUUUUAUAUUACCUAGUUAUGAUAUCUUAGCAGCAGUUCAUAAAUGUUUUAAAGCAAGUAGAUUGUAAUAAACUAUAUUUAGCAGCACAAUCAAGUAAUCCAGAUUAGGAGUGAAAAAGCAAAAAUGAAUAAACCAUUAACAAAGGUUAACAUUUUCAGGAAAAAAAUGCAAAUAAAGAGUUUGCAUCAAAUCAUUUUAGGGUAUACCUCCUAUGGUUCAUAAGUUAAUUGUUGAUUAAUAGAUCUAGAAAGUCUUCAUCCAGAUUUAAUUUUUAAAAUGGGAAUACAUUGUUGUUUCCAAAAUUGUAACACUGAUGUAUUGCGACAAAACAAAUUAUAUUUCCUACAAUCUAUGAAGUACAGAAGUUAUUUUAAAAGAAUAUAAAUCUGCCUCAUUCCUCUUUAAUGGGGCAGUUUAAUAUGCUUAAACAAGGUCUACUUUUUAGAGAUGAUUCUACAAAUAUCUCAUCAUCUUUUAACCAUGCUUUUAUUGCAUCAUUUGACUAAGUCUAUGAUGUAUUAUUUUCUGAGAUUCCAAAGCCAGAGGUAAAUACGGUAGAUAAGUACAGCUUUAACUGACUCUAUCAACAUGUUGCUGUUGGAAAUACAAGGCUAUUAUUGAAAUUACAGACUACCGUAUUACAUUCAGGAUAAUUAUUUAAGACAAAGUUAAUUUUCUGUAUGCAUCCUACUUGCUUGUAGAUCCUCCCUUGUGGGGAAAGAAUGCAUUUCCUUAUCCUAUCUUCCUUUCAUGGUUUCUCUCUCAAUCAUUAUUCUUGUAAGAAUGGGCCCUGCAUACAUGAAAUGAUGGGUUGUAUUCGCAUUUAGAAAUGUUGGCACCAUCAUGGUUUCUGACCAAGCCAGACCAAGGCAUUUUGCUGUCUAAGAUAAAGCAACAAAUAUUAUUCACCAAGCACUCAUUUCAAGGCACAGAAUACGUGAAGCCAACUAAAUUAAUUUGUUCCUCUGGCAGAAAAUCCCACAAGCAUCUCUCCCCAUCCUUGACAGUGACAAUAUAAUAGUAAUUUUCAUGGUUUGAUUUUUUUUAAAAAAACACACCUGAUUAUUUAUCUACUUGGGAAAUAUUCAGUAGGAUUCCAAUAAUAAUAAUAAUAAUAAUAAUAAUAAUAAUAAUAAUAAUAAUAAUAAUAAUAAUAAUAAUAAUAAUGCCUCAAGUACCACCUGCCAACAGCAAAGAACUGGUGGGAUCACAAACCAGCAAAGGUCGUGGAAAAUGAACACGCAAAGAUAC